Molecule: long non-coding RNA, 1385 nt
Organism: Mustela lutreola (European mink)
Lineage: Eukaryota; Metazoa; Chordata; Mammalia; Carnivora; Mustelidae
Exons: 2
Source: RefSeq, a predicted model, not a curated record
UGCUAAUUCUCAGUCUCCAGUUUCCACCACCACCAGCAGCCCCCUCCUUUUGAAGCUUUGAAUUUGAAUGGGACCAGAAGAAUCUCUGGGGGUCAUGUUUGUGGCCCUUGAGAAGCAGCCUCUCUACUGCUUUCAGCUGAUUUCCUGGCAUGUUUCGUGGGGAUUUGUGAUGAACAUGGAAUUUUCCUCUGUGUCUGACGGCUGUGCACUUCCUUCGUGCCUCUUGUGAUGCUCUAUAUUUGUGAUGGCCAAGAGAUACAGCUGUCGGGAAAACACUCAACAGAUGGCUGUUGUGGGGUGAUGCUUCAUCCUUUUUUGCAGGCUCUCGGAUACCUAAGCUCAGGAUUUCCGUAAGUGCUGGUGAGCAAUGGACUCCUUUUGAGCAACAUACGUUUGGAAUGUUCAGUGACAAAAUUCAUCCUCCUCCAAAAAAUGAGAAGAAACUGAUGUGUCCAUAUGAAAUGAAUGUGCACUAUCAUACUCAAAUGUAUUGUCCUUGGAAACUUUGUAACCAGUACUGAAAAAAGCAAGUAACUAGAUAGAGAGCCUGAUAUGUUGGGUAGAUGGUUAGAUCGCUUUUCUUUCAGCAGGAGAGUGAGGCAAGAUCAAUCAGUUCUUUCAUUUUUGUAAAGCUCUUUAAAGAUUGGCUUUAUAUUUUUUAGAAAGAGCAAUUUAACCUUGGCUUCAGUAAUGACACGACUUGUUGAAUGACUUAAUCUCUGAUGAAAUUAGUCUGAGUGGUUUAAGAAUUAAUUAAGUGGUUUUUUUUUACAUUUCAGGUAACAUUUUGCCGUGAAAUACUUAUGCUUCUAUCUUUGUUAUUUAUACAGCACGUGGAUGUGUAGAACAUUAUUAUGGGGACGGGAAAAUAAGAGGAAGUUGAUUGACAAAGAUUCGAAACACUGCACUGAACGAUUCUUGUAGUUGUGCUAGAGUAUCAGUAUUCAGAAUCUGUGUUACAGAAUCCAUUAUAAAUUAUGACCAACUCAUGUUUCUUCCUCUUAAGGACACAAACUCUAAAACCUCAUUUCUGUCCAGGGAACAUUCUGGGUUGUCUGGAUGUAUCUUUUUUAACACAAUGAUGAGACAGUAUUGAAUAAUAGGUAUAUAUCGUGCUUCUGUGCUCUAGACAACGUCCUGAGCAUGCCUGCCUUACCCUCAAUCCCCCUCUAUUGCUACUAAAUAAUAUUUGACUAUCUUCAGUUUGACCUGAAUGUGAGUAUAAGCCAAUAAAAUCUUAAAAGCAGCAAACAUGAGGAUAACCAUGUCCCAGAGGGUUAAGUUUAAUUUUGUGAAAAUUGUCUUUUCUUUUUUGUGUUAGCAAAAUCAUGUCCAGCAGUUCACAGAGAUUUGUAUUUCUUCUAAAACAUGACACUGUGACAUUA